RNAcentral lists this ribosomal RNA (500 nucleotides) under uncultured bacterium. RNAcentral's name for it is "partial 16S ribosomal RNA". It matches the Rfam family "Bacterial small subunit ribosomal RNA", at positions 30 to 523 of the family's 1533-position model. The record is from RNAcentral.
AUUGAACGCUGGCGGCAUGCCUUACACAUGCAAGUCGAACGGCAGCACGGGAGCAAUCCUGGUGGCGAGUGGCGAACGGGUGAGUAAAGUAUCGGAACGUGCCCAGUCGUGGGGGAUAACGUAGCGAAAGUUACGCUAAUACCGCAUACGAUCUAUGGAUGAAAGCGGGGGAUCGCAAGACCUCGCGCGAUUGGAGCGGCCGAUAUCAGAUUAGGUAGUUGGUGGGGUAAAGGCUCACCAAGCCGACGAUCUGUAGCUGGUCUGAGAGGACGACCAGCCACACGUGGACUGAGACACGGCCCAGACUCCUACGGGAGGCAGCAGUGGGGAAUUUUGGACAAUGGGCGAAAGCCUGAUCCAGCCAUGCCGCGUGCAGGAUGAAGGCCUUCGGGUUGUAAACUGCUUUUGUACGGAACGAAAAGGUUUGGGCUAAUAAGCUGAGCUCAUGACGGUACCGUAAGAAUAAGCACCGGCUAACUACGUGCCAGCCGCCGCUGUAA